Molecule: ribosomal RNA, 231 nt
Filed under: uncultured bacterium
Lineage: Bacteria
Description: partial 16S ribosomal RNA
Rfam family: Bacterial small subunit ribosomal RNA
Source: RNAcentral
UGGGUGACCUGCCUCUAGGUGGGGGAUAACCCGGGGAAACUCGGGCUAAUACCGCAUAACAUCGUGAGAUCAAAGAGGGGCGCAAGCCUCUCGCCGAGAGAGGGGCCCGCGUCUGAUUAGCUAGUUGGUGAGGUAACGGCUCACCAAGGCGACGAUCAGUAGCCGGCCUGAGAGGGCGACCGGCCACACUGGGACUGAGACACCGGCCCAGACCUCCGUACGGGGAGGCAG